This is a non-coding RNA of Styela clava, 2276 nucleotides long. NCBI's taxonomy places the organism in Eukaryota, Metazoa, Chordata, Ascidiacea, Stolidobranchia, Styelidae. The record is from RefSeq and is a predicted model, not a curated record.
GAUUAGAUAUGGUGCAAUAUAUGUGUUUACCUUGCACGCCAUUGGCUGCGGCAAUCGACCGACGACGACUCUUGCUCUGUAGUUAGUAUCUUGUAUUACUCUCUGUUGUGCGUGAGCGAGGCGAGCUAGUUAUGGCGCAAUCUACUAUUAUGUACUUUGUCGUCUUUUUAGGAUUUAGAGUGUAUGUAUUAUGAGUCGUUUUAGAUUACUGUUAGCUUACUAUUAAGUAGGAAUCAUUAUGUUAGUUUAUGCUGGGAUUUAUCUGUGAGUAUUUACCAAUUCUUUUUUAUUUAGCUAUUCAAUCCCGGAAUCUAUCAAUAUUUGAAAUCAGCUCAUGCUUUCAAACUUAACUCACACCUUUAACUGUUUAAUCUACAAAUUGGCUAUUCUCUACGUGGGAGUGUUAUCGCCGUAUUGUUCUGCGUGUAUUCGAGUUGGAAUAUUACAACAAAGUUCUUUCAGUUGGUGUGAUCUUGUGAGGUGUUGGGGUUCAAAAGUUCAGUGGUUCAAGACUAUUAUAUCAGAAUUUCACAACUACACUUUGAAUAAUUCUGUCAAUUACUGUUCAAAACAUAGUGGUGAAUCUAUAAAGAGCCAAAUGGUAAUCAAAGACGCGUCGAGGUGGACAAUGUUAUCUAGUUUGGCAUUUUUCAUGCCUUGUGCCAUCUUCUCACUGAUCGUCACAGCAUGGAGCGAUAAAAUUGGUCGAAAACGGGCUAUUUCAUUUCCAAUAUUCGGAACAGCAAUUGCAUCGGCGGUACAAACAGUAGUAAUAUUUCACAGACUGCCUUUAUAUUGUAUGAUUAUUGUCAGUUUUAUAUACGGAGCUUCCGGUUCAUAUGUAGCAAUUUUAAAUAUUGGUACCGCGUAUCUGAGCGACAUAACGAGUCGAAGAGAUCGAAACAAGCGCUUCACAAUUUUAGAAGUUUGUGCAAAUUUUGGCAGUGGAAUGGUCCUUAUAGCUUCCGGAUAUUGGAUCGAUUCUCAAAGCUUUAUUCCGAGUUCGAUUUUUAUCACAGUUUGCGGAAUCAUACCAAUUAUAUUUAUUCCCAUGAUGACAUCAAAUGAGCACGAAACAAAUGAAUCACCGGAUUCUGCAAUUUGCAAAACUGAUUCAUUACUUCCAAAUCGCAAAUGCAAUGAGUCAAAUUAUGCAUAUUCAAUCAUCCAAUCUCAACUGAGCCAAAUAAGUGCAGAUCAAUCGGACGAUUUGUGUAUAUUACGGCGACACAGAAGAAAUGACAGUGAAUUCACCAAAAUUGACAUUGUGGUUGCAAAUCAAAGUCGUUUGGAGCAUAUAUACAGAAGAAAAGAUUAUUUGUGACUGUGUAAGAGACGAAACGGUGACCAGAAGAUGUAUUUACAAAAGAAGAUUAUGGCGCCUCUGGUUCUUUGUUAUUACCUAUGCUUGGUACGCAUUUGGAGUUACCGGCGGUGAUUCGUUUGAGACGUUGUUUCUUAUUUCAUAUCCAAUGUGCUUCACACCCGGUUUGGUUGGUCUUCAAAAUGGUAUUGCUAGCAGCAUUGUGAUAUUUGGUCCAGUCAUCAUGAAAUUUUGUGAGUCUGUACUGGGAUUGAAGAAUCAGAGCCUUCUGUUACUCACAAUUUGUACCCGUGUUUCAAGCACCCUGUUGAUGGGCUUAGCUGAAUCUCCUCUUCUAAUUUUUUUGGCAACAAGUCUCGGAGUUCUUUAUGAUUUCACUUAUCCUAUGAUACGAUCACAAAUAUCGUUGCUUGUAUCUUCCUCAGAACAAGGGUCGGCUCUUGCACUAUUGUCGGGAAUUGAAGGUGCAUUCAAUAUAUUUUCAUCGAUUUUAUUUUUAUACAUAUAUCCUCAAACACUUUAUAUUUCACACGGAUUCUUAUGGAUUGUAGAAAGCGUUAUAUUGUGCAUUCCAUUGAGUUUAAUGAUUGCAAAGGAAAAGUCAAUCGUCGAUAGAAGAACGGGAUGAAAAGUAUAAAGUACAAUAUUCAGUCAUAGAACAAACCAAAAUUUUAUUUAUAUAUAAAAUUUAUUGUAAAUUUACAAUUUUUUUCUGCAAACUUGAAGCUUAAUUUGUCAUUUCAACUUGCUAAAAUAGCUUAGCCAGUGUGUCUUUACAUACAUAUAUAUAAAACUCUUUUUAGAAUCGUUUGGGCUGUAGAUAAUAUAGAAAUUGCGCACAAAAAUAUUAUGACAAUCUCACAAGAGAAGCGGAGGAAUAUUAGGAAUGGAAUGAAGCUACUAGUUGUUACAUCACUCACUGCAUGUUGCUACAUAAUCACAAGAAGACUGU